Molecule: ribosomal RNA, 443 nt
Filed under: uncultured bacterium
Lineage: Bacteria
Description: partial 16S ribosomal RNA
Rfam family: Bacterial small subunit ribosomal RNA
Source: RNAcentral
CCUACGGGUGGCAGCAGUGGGGAAUAUUGGGCAAUGGGCGCAAGCCUGACCCAGCAACGCCGCGUGAAGGAAGAAGGCUCUCGGGUUGUAAACUUCUUUUAUCAGGGACGAAGCAAGUGACGGUACUUGAUGAAUACGCCACCGCUAACUACGUGCCAGCAGCCGCGGUAAUACGUAGGUGGCAAGCGUUAUCCGGAUUUACUGGGUGUAAAGGGCGCGUAGGCGGGUAAGCAAGUCAGAUGUGAAAACCAUGGGCUCAACCUGUGGCCUGCAUUUGAAACUGGUUUUCUUGAGUACUGGAGAGGCAGACGGAAUUCCUAGUGUAGCGGUGAAAUGCGUAGAGAUUAGGAGGAACACCAGUGGCGAAGGCGGUCCGCUGGACGGCAACUGACGCUGAGGCGCGAAAGCGUGGGGAGCAAACAGGAUUAGAUACCCGUGUAGUC